UCAUCUCGCGAGGUUUCUGCCCUCCCUUUCUUUUCUCCAGCUGGCUUGUGGGCUCUCUGUACGGUACCGAAGCACCGGGUUCCGGUCCCCGGGGCGGUUUGUUGUGUAACUAAAGGGCCAGUGUGUCACUGACAUCAAACGAGAUCCAGAGGAAGUGACAUCGGAGGGGGGGGUUACAUAGAGCCCAAGAAAAUGCAAUAAAAACUGCAUGUCAUGUGAAAUAAAAGCA
Bufo gargarizans (Asiatic toad) is the source of this 229-nucleotide long non-coding RNA. RefSeq lists it as uncharacterized. The transcript is spliced from 2 exons. NCBI's taxonomy places the organism in Eukaryota, Metazoa, Chordata, Amphibia, Anura, Bufonidae. The record is from RefSeq and is a predicted model, not a curated record.